AGUUAGCUUCCAACAUUAGCCCAUCUCUGAUAAGCCAAAUGCGGAUACAACAUAUAAAAGUUGUGUUGAACUCAACAGGUUAAGUAGCACACACAGUCACAUUGAAUGGCACUCGGAACACAUUUUAGCACCAGUGAUUUUUAGAGUAAAAAAGGAUAAAUUGACUCGCACACAGCUUCUAAGAACAGAAGCCCAAUAAGAACUGUGAUUGACUUACCUGCUUCAGGUUGUGUGAAGACAAAAACAGUAAUCUGGCAUUCAGAUGGAUGACCUAUAAAGCAGCACUGGAGGAUUAGCUCAGCCUGGCAGACGUCCUGUUCUGCUGAGUGACAUUUUCUACUGCAGGAAAGCUGAACAGGGUUCAAAUUUGGAGCCACUUCCAGGGACACAAAUGCUUUUAAGCUUUUUCAAGGACAGCUUUUCAAAUGUCGUCAAGUGAUUUGUCAUUCACGUUAUGAACAAUGUUUUCCUCAAUUAUUCUGAAGGAGCAGCAGAACUGCUGAGGUGGAGACUGAUGAAGUCAAUACGGUUAGUCCUGGAAAUAAACCUGGUAGAGGCUGGCGAAGAAUUGAAACUGGGCUGGAGGUUCACCGUCCAGCAUGACGACAACCUAAACAUACCAGUCAAAAACAAGACCUAAUUUCAACUGAGAAUUUUCUGGGAGAACUUGAAAAUCACUGUUCAAAGACACACUCCACUCAUUCUGAGAAUUUUUUACUUUUUCUGAUUUAUAAUUAACAACAAAAAAAAGAAACAUUUACAAAACGUGUUGUUUUGCUUCACAGUUAUGUACUACUUUGUGUCAGUCUAUCACAUAAAAUUCUGCUAAAACACCAAGACUUGUGGUUGAAAUGUGAGAAAAUGAAAAGAAAUACUUGGUAUGAAUUCUUAUUUUGUCAUCCUGGCUCAAUUUGAUUCGCCUCAGUACAAAAAUUGCAUGUUAAAAUAACAGCUGUUCACGGUGUUUUGCAUUUCUGUCACAAACAAACAAGCUACCAAAGUUUUUUGCUCACGUAUCCAAUGUUAGCCUGCCAGCGUUAGCCAUGUGCAACAUUUUGUAAAACUCUUUUUUUUUUUUUCCUGCCAGUCGAGAAUGAAUAUUUUUGACCAGAUCUGAUUUAAUUAUCCUUAAAGUAUAAUUUACAGUAGAAAGCUCUGCAGAGCCCAGGCUGCCACUGAUGGAUAUAACCAUGGCAGGCCGCUGUGUGGAAUAGAUGAGCCGUGUGUGCCAAGCCAAUGGGUCCUCCCUCUCAUUUGCAUAGCUAACAUGGCAUUCACAUUCCGGUUGACACAUUUUCAACCUGCCACUUAUCCUAUUACUGGCUGUCCCCUGUCUCAGCAUUGUUUGCUGUGUCUGCACUCUCUCCUCUUGCCAGCCCAGUUCCCACACUGUUGUGUUUCAGGGAAGCUCACAGGCUGUUUAGACGCUGCAGAACUGGACAUAGCCGGGUACGUCUAGAAACACCUGCCGGCACACUUUGGAAGACGACAUGAAAGGAAAUAUUCACAUCCAGUGCACCUCUCUUAAUGCCACAUGAAUAUACAUUCCAAAUGAGUCACUUGGCGCAAUAGCAACACUGAAAACCAGCUGAAUUACACUGAACAGCGAAACAUUCUUUGUUCAAGUAAUUUUAAUAUAAAACGUAACUUGGACAUUUUUUCAUGGGUCAUAUUCUAGGUUGAUGAAAAGCAAGAUGAGAUAUUUUCUUCAGACACGCAUGCAUAAUUUCUUUGUUGCCUCGUGUGUAUUGUGCAAGUUUCCAUUAUGGAGGUAAU
This is a long non-coding RNA of Poecilia latipinna (sailfin molly), 1776 nucleotides long. RefSeq lists it as uncharacterized. The transcript has 4 exons. The record is from RefSeq and is a predicted model, not a curated record. Lineage: Eukaryota; Metazoa; Chordata; Actinopteri; Cyprinodontiformes; Poeciliidae.